UCGUGCAGCCGGGGUGUUAGCGGUACCUUGUACCUGCAAUCCGCUAUAGCAGGGGUGAUGCUGCGCAGAGGGCUUGUUUUGCAGAGCUGCCCUUGGUAAGUGGCACUGAAGUCCGGGUCUUACGCGACGGAAAUCCGUGAACCGUGUCAGGUCGGGAACGAAGCAGCACUAAGCGGAACCUUCCGGGUGCCGUAAGGGUGCCUGGGCCGAGUCAACUGCCAAGGUAACGUCUGUGAAGUCUCGUUCGAAGCGCAGCGCACGA
This 262-nucleotide signal recognition particle RNA is filed under the name Candidatus Dorea merdavium. RNAcentral describes it as "signal recognition particle sRNA large type". It matches the Rfam family "Bacterial large signal recognition particle RNA". From Rfam's summary of the family: The signal recognition particle (SRP) is a universally conserved ribonucleoprotein involved in the co-translational targeting of proteins to membranes. Archaeal SRP consists of a 7S RNA and homologues of the eukaryotic SRP19 and SRP54 proteins. In most bacteria, the SRP consists of a 4.5S RNA and the Ffh protein (a homologue of the eukaryotic SRP54 protein). Lineage: Bacteria; Bacillati; Bacillota; Clostridia; Lachnospirales; Lachnospiraceae. The record is from RNAcentral.